UACAGAGGGGGCAAGCGUUGUUCGGAAUUACUGGGCGUAAAGGGCGCGUAGGCGGCCUGUUAAGUCGAACGUGAAAUCCCCGGGCUCAACCCGGGAACUGCGUCCGAUACUGGCAGGCUUGAAUCCGGGAGAGGGAUGCGGAAUUCCAGGUGUAGCGGUGAAAUGCGUAGAUAUCUGGAGGAACACCUAUAGCGAAGGCAGCUUGCUGGGACGACACUGACGCUGAGGCGCGAAAGCGUGGGGAGCGAACAGG
This 253-nucleotide ribosomal RNA is filed under the name uncultured bacterium. RNAcentral's name for it is "partial 16S ribosomal RNA". It matches the Rfam family "Bacterial small subunit ribosomal RNA", at positions 524 to 776 of the family's 1533-position model. The record is from RNAcentral.